GAGAAAAGAAAUGUGGGUGGAGAAUGAUACAUCCUAUUUGAGCUCCUUACAGCUUAUAUUACCCUAGAGAAGGGAAUGAACAGGAGCACUCCUGCUAAAGAGUGAGGAAGAUACACACUGCAACAUUUUGUUGCAACUUGUUUCUCCUAUCACAGUAACACCUUUAAACAGGGCAGUGUUUAUCUUUUCCAAGAAAAAUUUCCAGCUACAACUCUCCUGCAAUACAGCUGGUCCAUAACUGUAAGUACAAAUGGUGGCUCAUCUGAGUAUAGCUCCCUGGGAACUGAAAGCAACAGUGCUAUAGGCAGGAACCAAAAUGGUUAACUUGGGACUUUCCUUAAAAUGCUGUACUUCCAGCUGAGUUGACUCAAACAGUCAUUCCUUUACCUGCCAAUAUGCAGCAUUUGAAAAACCACGGUUUUUAAAAUAGCUUUUGUUUCAAAGCUUUCAUGGCUUGAAACGCCUUCUUAGCUGUUUGAUAAAAUAAAAUGCAUUUUCUUAGCAUCGAGGUGAUGUUGCAGGGAAUGCCUGCUUCAGACAUGAACAAAGACUAAAGACCACAUGUCCUGCCUGCCAGACCAGCAGGAAACAGAUAAAAGUCAAAACAACCUUGUAAGGGGGAGUAAGACAGUUUGAGGUAUCAGGCGUGAUCUGCCCAGCUCUCUGCCUUCAGCAAGCCUUGGGGUCUCAAAUUUCAGUGGCAACCUGUGUGACACCCAAAUUUGGUGCCCUCCUGCCUCUCAACUUCCAUUCUACAUCAUAGUUGUGGUGCCCCUGAGGCUCAGCACUAGGCCUGGGCGAUACAUCAAUAUAUGAGAAGCAUAUGUAUGAUGUAUGAUGAUAUGUAUUGAUGUAUGAGAAGCAGACCGCGAUGUCGGUUUCACUCAGCUGUAUAUCGCUGGUGAAACCGCCGCUGCCGCUCCUGAGUCUCUCUGCUAGCAGCAUCCACUGUAGGGAGUCAAGAAUUUCUUCCUCUCCAGCGGGCACUGCAAGCAGAGGAACUCAGGAGCGGCAGCGGUAUAUCGCUGGUGAAACCACCAUCCCACUCUGCCCUCAUACAAUGGAGAGGGAGAAACAAGGCUCCAAAACAGCUUCUUCUUCCCUCUGCAUCUUUAAACUGCUCAACGGAGGAGUGUGUAGCUGCCCCUGCCUCAGUCAAGCAGUUAAAGGAGCCCCCAGUCCAGUGCUGGCUUCUGCAAGUCUGCAAUGGGGUGGGAGCUCUGUGAAACUGCUGAGGGGGGCGUGGUUGCCGCUCCCUGCAGUGGGCAGUUAAAGGAGCCCUGAUGCUUUGCCCGCUCGUAGCAAGAGCACCAGGGCUGUCUCACCUGGGGAGGGGGACAUUCCCUCCCUGCAGCUGAACAGCACAAACAAGCUGUGUUGUCCCAGCUUGCAAGCCUGGGUGAAACCGACUCUGCUCUCGAGGUGAGAGCUGGGGCAGUUUCACCGCUGUCUCGUGGGCAGAGGCCAAUGCGUCUUGUUUUUUCAUCAUUGCGGUGUAUCGCCAACCACGAUGUUUGGUUGGCAAAUACAAUGCAGUGUUGAAAAGCUGAUAUCUCCCAGGCCUACCCAGCACCCAGUGCGACCAAACUGCUCGUGCUUCCCUAAAUCUGCCUCUGCUGCCUGGCCUUGAGGAAGGGUGUGUAAUACAAUUUGGGUAUUGAUGAGGAAUUUCUCUCUGCCUGUCAGGUCGAAGAGGAGCACCAACAGCUCCCCUGACCAGAAAAGGCGGGAGCCAGAAGAAGACAGUGCUGGACACUGAUGGAAUAUUGCAUGCUUGCCUGACCCAGAAAAGGGCAAGCCAGAAGCAGAGGUUCGGGGCUUCCUGUUUCUGGUGGUGAGAAAUGGCUGACUCCCACAUGAUCGGACCUCAACUGUGCCGGUAAUUCAGGGUUGAUAUGGGGGUAAUUAGCCGUGGCAGACUCCCCAGGGUGGGGGACGACUGUCUCGUAGACCCGCAGAUCGUCCGAGAUUCUCAGCUGGCAUCAAGGUGCAAGCGGCAGGACCCUGGGUGCCAGAGCAUGACAUGGCCGGCACUCUCCGAUGUCAUUCUCAUAGCCGGAAAUAUCUCUUUGAUAAAAUGAUUGGAUUUGGACAAUAACCAGACAUAGUCAAGACUGAAGAAGACUAAGGAAAAACCUGCUGAACUGUACAGUCCCUGGUGUUUAAGUUUAAGCUCAGACCUCAAAGAGAUUACCAUCAUGGCGUGUGGAUUACAGAGGUGUUUGGUGUGUCUUUUGUUUCUUCUUAACGACUACAAUUGGUUUUCUAUGCCAAGCCUCAUUAAGAAACCUUUUAAAAAAACCGGAG
This is a non-coding RNA of Podarcis lilfordi (Lilford's wall lizard), 2307 nucleotides long. The record is from the annotation of a GenBank genome assembly. Lineage: Eukaryota; Metazoa; Chordata; Lepidosauria; Squamata; Lacertidae.